UAUAAUUUUUGACUAUUCGUCUUAUUCAAAAAUUUUUUGCGAUUGAUAUUUUUGUUUUUAUUAGAUGAUAACUCAUGAAUAGUACUUUACGUGUGACUAAUUUUUUUAAUUUUCUAAAUUUUUUUAAAUAAGAUGCACGAUCAAACGUUGUACACAGAAACC
RNAcentral lists this microRNA precursor (162 nucleotides) under Oryza brachyantha (malo sina). RNAcentral describes it as "MIR812 microRNA precursor family". It matches the Rfam family "MIR812 microRNA precursor family", at positions 27 to 189 of the family's 205-position model. Lineage: Eukaryota; Viridiplantae; Streptophyta; Magnoliopsida; Poales; Poaceae. The record is from Rfam by way of RNAcentral.